CUCAACGGGAAGCCCUCUAAGUGGUUACAUAAGGUAACCUCUUCCCGGGUGCCUGUCUACCUCGACAGUGAGGAACAGCAGGACAUCUUGUUUGCUUAUCUGAGAGGAGUGCUGGAUAGAACACCAACAGAAUUGAGCUUCACAGAUGAAGUGCAGUUCAUCUGUGAUGUUCUUUUUCCGGAGGCCAUCAUAUAUGCCCUGGCUGCCCUCCGGAAUUUGUCCUUGCAGGAGGCUGAGCAGGUCUUCCUUUCUGGUCCAUAUUAUCAUUUCAGUGAAGUGGAAGAAUUCAAUAGAAAGAUUGACAAACAAUUGAGGAAAGAAGGGAGAUCAUUCAAUUGGUGGGUAUUGCUCUUAUGUACUUACACAUUUGAAGUUUGUGAUUAGAUGUCAGUAACAUGAAUAUUCUGUUUGGCUCUCUCUCUAAAACUCCAACAGUGCAUAAGUGUUAAAUCAGAUAUAUAUAUAUAUAU
Long non-coding RNA from Cyprinus carpio (common carp), 470 nucleotides. RefSeq lists it as uncharacterized. The transcript is spliced from 3 exons. NCBI's taxonomy places the organism in Eukaryota, Metazoa, Chordata, Actinopteri, Cypriniformes, Cyprinidae. The record is from RefSeq and is a predicted model, not a curated record.